GGGGUCAUGCGUGAUACAAAUUAUUCUCCAGAGCUCAGUAACACAUUGGAGCCCCAAGAGUCCCUGCCAUGCUGCAAAACAUGUCGUCUCUGCAGUUACUCUUGCUCUCAAACAGCAGCUUCAGUGGCUCCAUCCCGGCUUCCCAGGCUCACGAACUUCCGAGCCAUUGACUUCUCGGUUAACAGGUUCUCGGGGGAGAUACUGGCAAGCAUUGGUCGACUGUUUGCCAACGUCACACUGUGGA
RNAcentral lists this long non-coding RNA (244 nucleotides) under Selaginella moellendorffii. Its description in RNAcentral is "long non-coding RNA (SMOE_LNC000448)". The record is from RNAcentral. Lineage: Eukaryota; Viridiplantae; Streptophyta; Lycopodiopsida; Selaginellales; Selaginellaceae.